UAUUGCGAAAUACUGGUUAGCAAGGUCUACCAUUUUAGGCAUUGUUCUUCGAUUAUUAGGCUUCGUAAGUCCUUUGCUUAUAAGUUAUACCAUUUUCCUGCUACUUCGUUUGCAGAAUCUUUGACGUUGGUAACCAAGAAACAAAUAACGGCCUCAUAUACGGGAAAGGGUUGGAUCUAAGGCAGUACUAUCACUCUGUGUUCCCAUAAAAAAAAGUGCCCAAGAUGUCAAAAACGUACCUCCCAGAAAAAAAGGAUAAAAUUUACGUCAACUUAUUAUAUAAGCCUAUUCAACUACUGGAAGGAAAAUGAAGGUGGCGUAAUAGUGAACAACGGUUUGUUUGUUUGAUGUAAAGCGCAAAACUACACAAUGGGCUAUCCGCGCUGCAACCGUCACGAGUAUCGAAAUCUUUAGCGGUGUGAGCCCCCAGACUUGCCACCGGGGGUGGGGGUAGUGCACAACGGAGUGUUAGUCAUUCAAGUUUACAAGGAAAACUUUUAUUAUCUCAAUCUAUCGCCUUGCUUCUUCUUCGGGAAGUUAAUACCUUGCCAAUCAAAAAGUAGGCUCAGAACAACUUACUAGUAGAUAAUACAAAGUUUAAAAUCCAACAAUGGAUUCCAUCCAAUGCGUGAUGAUAGAGGAGAACACGUUAAACCAACAGCAUUUGUGGCAUGGUUAUAAAGGAUCUGGUGAAAUAUACAGAACUAAAGAUCACAAACAAUACUUUAAAAUUUACAAAUUCCUGUACAAAAGGACAAGUCGAUGACGAAAAGAAUAAAAGCUUGUGGAAGACUGUGGACCGUGGGAAUAAGCAAUGUGGAUUUUAUUAAGCCUAACGGUUGCUGAUUGUGACGAUGUUUGCCUAACUAUUAAGUUGUUUAUGAAAAAAAAGAAGAAAGGGGUUUAUGUCAGACGAGAAGAAAACUACGGUGGAAGGAACAAAAAAAAAUCUAUGGACAGGGAGUUGUUGUCAUAUGUAAAUAUUAUUUUUUUUUACAGUACUAAUAAACUGACAUGAUUACCAUCAAGAACACUAUUAAAUAUCACCCACGCAGAUGCUAUUAAAAUGUAAACCCAAUAUACAUCGUAGUGCUUAUGUUACGAAACAUUUAAUAACCAAUUUAAAUUAUACACGAAAAAGCAAAAACACAAGACACGUAUCAACUUGGAAGUGCAAAAUAUAUUAGCUAAACAAAGUUCUUGAUAACAUAGUACAAUUAACAGUUUAUCUAUCAGUCUGUAUCAGUUAUAUUCAUAUUCGAUCUGUAUCCAUGUUUCAGGGUAAGGUAUCAGCUGUGUAAAUAUAUAUAUAUAUUGAACAUAUUAUACAUAACGCACGUAUAUUAUUGAGUAUUAAGUUAAACAAAAAAUGAGGUGUUUCAAACACGGUGAUGUUUCAUACACUACCCUAACAUGAAGUAUGCGAGUGUGUAAACUACAAAACAAAUGUUAACAGUUUAUUUGACAUGAAGUACACGAGUGUUUAAACUAGAAAAAAAAUGUUAAUAGUUUAUUUGGCACGAAGUACGUGAUUGUGUAAACUAAAACAAAUGUUAAUAGUUUAUUUCACAUGAAGUAUGUGAGUGUGUAAACUAAAAAAUGUUAGCAGUUUAUUUGAUAUGAAGUAUGCGUGUGUGUAAGCUAGAAAAACAAUGUUAAAAGUUUACUUGACAUGAAGUACACGAGUGUGUAAACUAGAAAAAAAAUGUUAACAGUUUAUUUGACAUGAAGUACACGAGUGUGUAAACUAGAAAAAAAAUUUUAAUAGUUUAUUUGACAUGAAGUACACAAGUGUUUAAACUAGAAAAAAAAUGUUAAUAGUUUAUUUGAAAUGAAGUACACAAGUGUUUAAACUAGAAAAAAUUUUUAAUAGUUUAUUUGACAUGAAGUACGUGAUUGUGUAAACUAAAACAAAUGUUAAUAGUUUAUUUGAUAUGAAGUAUACGUGUGUGUAAGCUAGAAAAACAAUGUUAAAAGUUUACUUGACACGAAGUACACGAGUGUGUAAACUAGAAAAAAUGUGAAAGUUUAUUUGACAUGAAGUACAUGAGUGUGUAAACUAGAAAAAAAUGUGAAAGUUUACUUGACAUGAAGUACACGAGUGUGUAAACUAGAAAAAAAUGUGAAAGUUUACUUGACAUGAAGUACGCUAGUGUUUAAGCUAGAAUUUUUUUAACAAUUUAGUUGACAUGAAGUAUGCGAAUGUGUAAACAAAAAUUUUUUAGCAGUUUAUGUGAUAUGAAGUACGCGGUGUGUAAAAUAGAAAAAUAAAUGUCAAGUUUAUUUGAAAGAGCGAGAAGAAAGAAAUAUAUACAAUAAUAAGUACAUAUAGUAUUAACUUCACUGAAUAACCUUAUAUUUAACAUUAUAUGUAAAUAUGUUUUUGAACUCAGUAUGAAAAAGUUAAUGACAAAUAAAUUCAGUCAAACAUCAUAAUAUACAACUGCACAGAAACCAAAACAGCAGGUCACUGCACAUCGGAUAUAAAAAUAUUUUCCUACUUGUCGUGUCAUCAAGCUUUGUUUUAAUGGAAUAAUAAAACAAACCCCCAAAAAAGACAAAACAUCGAUUUUAAUCUAUUAUGAUUAUUAGAAUUUCCUGUGUUCCAAAAACACACGUGUAUAAACAUAUCACGUAAAAGUCGAUAAACUAUAUCCAAUGUGAAAAUUGUUCUGGUGUUAUAAUAAUACAAUUGAUUUACUAAGUAAUUAUGUUUAAUUAUAUAUCAUAACCUCUAGUUCAGAAAUAUUGCUUCGAGCUGGUUAAGAAAUAGUUUUAAGAAUGAUAACUGAACGAAACUGUACGAUGUUGUUGAAUAAAUAUAUAUAUAUAUA
Limulus polyphemus (Atlantic horseshoe crab) is the source of this 2834-nucleotide long non-coding RNA. RefSeq lists it as uncharacterized. The transcript has 2 exons. The record is from RefSeq and is a predicted model, not a curated record. NCBI's taxonomy places the organism in Eukaryota, Metazoa, Arthropoda, Merostomata, Xiphosura, Limulidae.